UUGUUCACCUUUCUUCCUCAAAAAAUAAAAAAAGCAAAACCAAAAAAAACUUUCUCACUAUUUUUGACAUUUUACAGUUCCUCUAACAAAUGCAGUGAUGAAAGCACCUCGGUGGUUGGAGCCUCUCGCUGCAAAUGGGAGCACAUGGUACAUUUUCUCAGGGACAACAGCUGGCCUGGAGAUGGAGGGGUGAAAGGGAUUGUUGAGCAUAGACACUUCCAAAUCAUAGUUCAUAACUAUUUCAACAAGAUCAUCAUUCUAGCUUAGCCAGAUGAGAUGGUUUUAUUUAUCAUAAAAUAAGCAAGCUAACAAACUUGGUGGAUUUUUAUUUUUUUUUAAUUUAUUUUGGUGGCUCAGUACAUCAGUAGGUCUUUUUCUAUUUCAUCGGACCCUCAGUGGCCAGGCUCCUCUGCCUGUGGCUGUGCUUGGCUGGAGUUCCUAGGAGACAGCCCUAAGGAAAAAAUCAUCCUGUAUUUUCCCAAGUCACAUAGAACUUGAAAGCAGCAAAGCUUCUGUCUCCCAUAUGUGUAACAGAAGCAUUUAUGCUUAUGUCCACUUUUUGUCUGUAUUGAGUAAGAAGAUGUGAUUUGGUCUGCAGCUUGCCAAAGCCAUUAGCUGCUUGUGUAAUUCUGGGAGGUUGUCAAAGCAGUUUUGGUCUUUACUGAGGAUUCUUUAAGACAACUGCUCUGUUUGAAGUUCUUCGCUGGUUUGAAGUGCUACAACAGACUGGUGGAUUUGCGGACAGAUUUCGGGCAAGAUAUAAAUUGGCUUGUCUGCAGGAAUGCAGUAGUACUUUUGGCUGUGCCUGGAAAACAUAAACAAGCAUUUCUUCUACUAAGGAUUGUAUUUAGCAGCAGACAUUUGAUUUGCUGCAGAAUGACUGAACAGAAACUACAACAGCUACAAAAAGUUCUUUUUCAAUGUAGUCACCACCACUAGAUGUGCGUUUUCACCAGCGAUAAUUCAGCAGGAGCCUUAAUGCAGUGCUCAUAGAAGUCUGCAUCAAUUGAGGUGACCCUCUGUUUCACAGCUGCUGUGAUGGUGUGGUUGCGAAGAAAAUGUUGUCUAUGCAGUCCAUCUUUCAUCAGCCCAAACAGAUGGAAGUCAGAAGAUGCUAAAUCAGGUCUAUAUGCUGGAUGUGGUUGGGCAGUCAGCAAAGAUUGGCAGUGUGCUCCAUGGUCUUCAAACAGGUAUGGUCUUUGCAGUUAUUGUGUUGCAAGAGAGAAGUUGUCUUCUUCUCUGGCCUAACAAUGGAAGUUUGAGCAUUCAGCUUAGUCAGCAUCAUCAUGCAGUUGUCAGAGUUAAGGGCUAUUCUGGGUUUCAGGAAAUCUGGAAGGGUCUUACCUAUCCCAAAAUACUUGAACUUUUCCUUCAAUGGGGAUUUUACGUUUUGCUACUCUGUGGACUGCUGUUCUGGCUCCAGCUCAUAGUGAUGACACCAUGUCUCAUUAUCAAUAAUGAUGUGAUUCAGGAAACUGUCACCUUUAACGUCCUUCUGUUUUUUCUGUUCCUGUGUGAACAUUCAUGGGACCCAUAUGGUGCAAACUUUGUGAUAUUCCAACAUUGCUACCAUGAUUUUAAUGCAUUGAAGCCAAUAUUCAGUUCUGUACACAGUUCUCUGGUCAUAAUCUGCUGAUUCAUGUGGAUGAGCUGACUGAGACACUCUUUGUUUUGUGGUGCGACAGUUGUGCAUGGCCACCCAGAACACAGCACGUAGUUCAUGUUGCUACCACCUUUGCUGAAAUGCACCCCUCAUCUCCUCACUGUUCUCACAUCCACUGUUAGGUCUCCAUAAACAUUCAGCAAAUGACAACAAAUGUCAAUGUGUGCAGUUUUUUUUCUCAUGGAGGAAUUUGGUGACUCCUUCAUCUGCACUUCCAUCUCAGGCACCAUUUUGUUAGACUACCCCUCUGCUGUCAUCUGUAAUGCAGCAACAUGUAAUGGAAUAUUGGUGGGAAAGCUCAGCCUCUACUGCCACCAACUUCUGCUUCUCAUAUUGUGGCCAAACACAAUAAAAUAGGAGGCAAUACCUUUGGAGCAGUCCCCAUAUACUGAAAAUGUUCCAGUGAAUUGAAGUACAGUUGUACGAUGUAAUGCCAUAGUUAUUAAAAAAAUGAAAAAUAUAAAAAAAAUCCCCCUGAAAUUAGACAAAACCUAUGUGGGUACAUAGGAUGGCCUCUGUAGGAAUCUAGCAUUGCCAUCAAACUCCUCAGCCUUCCUGUACUUAGAAGAUGGGUGGAGUUGGGAAGAUGCACAGAGGCAGUCUUCCUAAACAGCUUACUUCCUCCCAGUCAUGCAGAUCUGGUGUGCGACUGGUCUGCUGGCAAUGGAAUUGAAAAUAGGAGAGAUAAGAUGCGAGUUGCUGGUUUUACAAAUGAAGAAUGAAAUUGGAUGCAUUUUGCCACUUUGCAAUCAGCCAUUAUGUAUAUGUUUAGCUUGAAAAACUAAUCUGGUAGUUUUCAGAUCCAAUCAUAUUAAUGAAGUAGUAGAAUUACUUGUGUGAUGCUGUACUACAGUCAAUUUAGUAAAUAGAUAUGAAGGAAAAUAAAAU
This is a non-coding RNA of Coturnix japonica (Japanese quail), 2551 nucleotides long. The record is from RefSeq and is a predicted model, not a curated record. Lineage: Eukaryota; Metazoa; Chordata; Aves; Galliformes; Phasianidae.